Molecule: ribosomal RNA, 532 nt
Filed under: Callistoctopus aspilosomatis
Lineage: Eukaryota; Metazoa; Mollusca; Cephalopoda; Octopoda; Octopodidae
Description: partial 16S ribosomal RNA
Rfam family: Bacterial large subunit ribosomal RNA
Source: RNAcentral
GUCUCUUUGAGAAUUAUUAAUAGAGAGUUGGGCCUGCUCGGUGAGAAGAAAAUUUAACAGCUGCGGUAUUAUAACUGUACUAAGGUAGCAUAAUAAUUUGCCUUAUAAAUUAAGGCUAGAAUGAAUGGUUUGACGAAAAUUAAGCUGUCUUUAUUUUAUUUAUUAGAAAUUAUUUUUAUAGUGAAAAGCUUGAAUGUUUAAAGGGACGAGAAGACCCUAUUGAGCUUAAUUAUUAAUUAUUAAAUAUAAAUUAAGUUUAAAAGUUAUUUAUUUUAAAUGUAUUUAAUUAAAUUAGUUUUGGUUGGGGUGAUCAAGGAAUAAGAAAAAUUAUAAUAACUUCCUUAAAAUUUUAUUUUUUUAGAAUAAUAACCAAGUUUUUUGCUUAUAAGAUAAGUUACCAUAGGGGUAACAGCGUAAUUUUUUUUGAGAGUUCAUAUUGAAAAAAGAGAUUGCGACCUCGAUGUUGGAUUAAAAAUUACCUUAAGGUGUAGAGGCUUUAUUAGGUGAAUCUGUUCGAUUUUUAAAAUUUUAC